This 599-nucleotide ribosomal RNA is filed under the name fungal endophyte. RNAcentral's name for it is "eukaryotic LSU rRNA". The stretch from base 181 to 334 matches the Rfam family "5.8S ribosomal RNA". The record is from RNAcentral. Lineage: Eukaryota; Fungi.
AUUAAAGAGUUCUAUAACUCCCAAACCCAUGUGAACAUACCUAACGUUGCCUCGGCAGGUCGCACCUACCUUGUAGCACCCUACCCUGUAGGGCCUACCCGGGAGGUGCGGGUAAGCCUGCCGGCGGCCCACCAAACUCUGUUUGAUAUUGAAUUCUGAACCUAUAACUAAAUAAGUUAAAACUUUCAACAACGGAUCUCUUGGUUCUGGCAUCGAUGAAGAACGCAGCGAAAUGCGAUAAGUAAUGUGAAUUGCAGAAUUCAGUGAAUCAUCGAAUCUUUGAACGCAUAUUGCGCCCAUUAGUAUUCUAGUGGGCAGGACCGUUCGAGCGUCAUUUCAACCCUUAAGCCUUCGUUGCUUAGUGUUGGGAGCCUACGGCAACGUAGCUCCUCAAAGUUAGUGGCGGAGUUGGUUCACACUCUAGACGUAGUAAUUUUUUAUCUCGCCUAUUAGUUGGACUAAUCCCCUGCCGUAAAACCCCUAAUUUAUCAAGGUUGACCUCGAAUCGGUUCAGACAAACUCGCUAAAUUGAAGCAUCUUAGUCAGCGAAGGAAAAGAAACCAACAGGGAUUGCCCUAGUAACGGCGAGUGAAGCGGCA